RNAcentral lists this long non-coding RNA (399 nucleotides) under Pelobates cultripes (western spadefoot toad). The record is from RNAcentral. Lineage: Eukaryota; Metazoa; Chordata; Amphibia; Anura; Pelobatidae.
GAUACAUUAAUCUUAAAGGGGAUAAAUUGGGGAACAGUAAGACACAAUAAGGGUGGGGAAGUGAAGGUCUUGUUGAAUGUAGAGGAAGAGAUAGAGCCUAUAAUCCUGACUCCUCCUUUCACCUAUAUUCAUACAACUCCUUCACUAAUGGAUAAUGGGAGCAGACCUGAGUGUCAGAGGAUUAGAGUGGUCUCUAGUGGUAAUUUCCCAAUAUGUAUACUGAGACCUACCCCUAUAGUCAGGAAUAUUACUUUCCAAUUGAUUCGACUAACAGAUUGGCUAGUUUCAUCACACUUUCAGAACUGUUCUAGGGUCACAUCCACUAUUAAUAAGGUUUUAGUCAGAUGGGUGACAAGAAGUAGAACUAGGAAUAGGAGGGUUGUCUUGGGUACGGUUCUG